CACCGAGUCCGAGGCCCCUGGGAAUCACCGGGGGCUGGUGCAAAAGGGA
Streptomyces sp. IB2014 011-1 is the source of this 49-nucleotide non-coding RNA. The record is from Rfam. NCBI's taxonomy places the organism in Bacteria, Bacillati, Actinomycetota, Actinomycetes, Kitasatosporales, Streptomycetaceae.